RNAcentral lists this ribosomal RNA (253 nucleotides) under uncultured bacterium. Its description in RNAcentral is "partial 16S ribosomal RNA". It matches the Rfam family "Bacterial small subunit ribosomal RNA", at positions 524 to 776 of the family's 1533-position model. The record is from RNAcentral.
UACAGAGGGUUCUAGCGUUGUUCGGAAUUACUGGGCGUAAAGGGCGCGUAGGCGGUUUGUCAAGUCAGACGUGAAAGCCCCGGGCUUAACCUGGGAACUGCGUUUGAUACUGUCAGACUGGAAGGCGGAAGAGGAGAGUGGAAUUCUUGGUGUAGCAGUGAAAUGCGUAGAUAUCAGGAGGAAUACCAAAGGCGAAGGCAUCUCUCUGGUCCGUUCUUGACGCUGAGGCGCGAAAGCGUGGGGAGCAAACAGG